UAAUGCAGUCGAGCGGACAGAUGGGAGCUUGCUCCCUGAUGUUAGCGGCGGACGGGUGAGUAACACGUGGGUAACCUGCCUGUAAGACUGGGAUAACUCCGGGAAACCGGGGCUAAUACCGGAUGGUUGUCUGAACCGCAUGGUUCAGACAUAAAAGGUGGCUUCGGCUACCACUUACAGAUGGACCCGCGGCGCAUUAGCUAGUUGGUGAGGUAACGGCUCACCAAGGCGACGAUGCGUAGCCGACCUGAGAGGGUGAUCGGCCACACUGGGACUGAGACACGGCCCAGACUCCUACGGGAGGCAGCAGUAGGGAAUCUUCCGCAAUGGACGAAAGUCUGACGGAGCAACGCCGCGUGAGUGAUGAAGGUUUUCGGAUCGUAAAGCUCUGUUGUUAGGGAAGAACAAGUGCCGUUCAAAUAGGGCGGCACCUUGACGGUACCUAACCAGAAAGCCACGGCUAACUACGUGCCAGCAGCCGCGGUAAUACGUAGGUGGCAAGCGUUGUCCGGAAUUAUUGGGCGUAAAGGGCUCGCAGGCGGUUUCUUAAGUCUGAUGUGAAAGCCCCCGGCUCAACCGGGGAGGGUCAUUGGAAACUGGGGAACUUGAGUGCAGAAGAGGAGAGUGGAAUUCCACGUGUAGCGGUGAAAUGCGUAGAGAUGUGGAGGA
RNAcentral lists this ribosomal RNA (669 nucleotides) under Bacillus amyloliquefaciens. Its description in RNAcentral is "bacterial SSU rRNA". It matches the Rfam family "Bacterial small subunit ribosomal RNA", at positions 52 to 705 of the family's 1533-position model. The record is from RNAcentral. Lineage: Bacteria; Bacillati; Bacillota; Bacilli; Caryophanales; Bacillaceae.